UACGAAGGGGGCUAGCGUUGCUCGGAAUCACUGGGCGUAAAGCGCACGUAGGCGGAUUGUUAAGUCAGGGGUGAAAUCCUGGAGCUCAACUCCAGAACUGCCUUUGAUACUGGCGAUCUUGAGUUCGGGAGAGGUGAGUGGAACUGCGAGUGUAGAGGUGAAAUUCGUAGAUAUUCGCAAGAACACCAGUGGCGAAGGCGGCUCACUGGCCCGAUACUGACGCUGAGGUGCGAAAGCGUGGGGAGCAAACAGGG
This 254-nucleotide ribosomal RNA is filed under the name uncultured bacterium. Its description in RNAcentral is "partial 16S ribosomal RNA". It matches the Rfam family "Bacterial small subunit ribosomal RNA", at positions 524 to 777 of the family's 1533-position model. The record is from RNAcentral.